AUUGAACGCUGGCGGCAGGCCUAACACAUGCAAGUCGAGCGAGCGGCGGACGGGUGAGUAAUGUAUGGGGAUCUGCCCGAUCGAGGGGGAUAACUACUGGAAACGGUGGCUAAUACCGCAUACUAUCGGAUGAACCCAUAUGGGAUUAGCUAGUAGGGGGGGUACAGGCUCACCUAGGCGAAGAUCGCUAGCUGGUCUGAGAGGAUGACCAGCCACACUGGGACGGAGACACGGCCCAGACUCCGCCGGGAGGAAGCAGUGGGGAAUAUUGGACAAUGGGGGAAAGCCGGAUGCAGCCAUGCCGCUUGGAUGAAGAAGGCCUUAGGGUUGUAAAGUACUUUCAGCGGGGAGGCGUUACCCGAAGAAGAAGCACCGGCUAACUACGUGCCAGCAGCCGCGGUAAUAC
This 406-nucleotide ribosomal RNA is filed under the name uncultured bacterium. Its description in RNAcentral is "partial 16S ribosomal RNA". It matches the Rfam family "Bacterial small subunit ribosomal RNA", at positions 29 to 526 of the family's 1533-position model. The record is from RNAcentral.